AGUGAACGCUGGCGGUAGGCCUAACACAUGCAAGUCGAACGGCAGCACAGUAAGAGCUUGCUCUUACGGGUGGCGAGUGGCGGACGGGUGAGGAAUACAUCGGAAUCUACUUUUUCGUGGGGGAUAACGUAGGGAAACUUACGCUAAUACCGCAUACGACCUACGGGUGAAAGCAGGGGACCUUCGGACCUUGCGCGAUUGAAUGAGCCGAUGUCGGAUUAGCUAGUUGGCGGGGUAAAGGCCCACCAAGGCGACGAUCCGUAGCUGGUCUGAGAGGAUGAUCAGCCACACUGGAACUGAGACACGGUCCAGACUCCUACGGGAGGCAGCAGUGGGGAAUAUUGGACAAUGGGCGCAAGCCUGAUCCAGCCAUACCGCGUGGGUGAAGAAGGCCUUCGGGUUGUAAAGCCCUUUUGUUGGGAAAGAAGAGCAGCAGGUUAAUACCCCGCUGUUCUGACGGUACCCAAAGAAUAAGCACCGGCUAACUUCGUG
This 492-nucleotide ribosomal RNA is filed under the name uncultured bacterium. RNAcentral describes it as "partial 16S ribosomal RNA". It matches the Rfam family "Bacterial small subunit ribosomal RNA", at positions 29 to 507 of the family's 1533-position model. The record is from RNAcentral.